RNAcentral lists this ribosomal RNA (914 nucleotides) under uncultured archaeon ORGANIC1_A. RNAcentral's name for it is "bacterial SSU rRNA". It matches the Rfam family "Archaeal small subunit ribosomal RNA", at positions 1 to 916 of the family's 1478-position model. The record is from RNAcentral. Lineage: Archaea; Methanobacteriati; Methanobacteriota; Halobacteria; Halobacteriales; Haloferacaceae.
AUUCUGGUUGAUCCUGCCAGAGGACAUUGCUAUUGGGAUUCGAUUUAGCCAUGCUAGUCGCACGAGUUUAGACUCGUGGCAGAUAGCUCAGUAACACGUGGCCAAGCUACCCUUCAGACCAGAAUAACCUCGGGAAACUGAGGCUAAGACUGGAUACGGUAUGCACGCUGGAAUGCAGGAUAUUCCAAACGCUCCGGCGCUGAAGGAUACGGCUGCGGCCGAUUAGGUAGACGGUAGGGUAACGGCCCACCGUGCCAGUAAUCGGUACGGGUCAUGAGAGUGAGAGCCCGGAGACGGAAUCUGAGACAAGAUUCCGGGCCCUACGGGGCGCAGCAGGCGCGAAACCUUUACACUGCACGCAAGUGCGAUAGGGGAAUCCCAAGUUGAGAGGCAUAUAGCCCUCGCUUUUGUCGACUGUAAGGAGGUCAACGAAUAAGAGCUGGGCAAGACCGGUGCCAGCGGCGGCGGUAAUACCGGCAGCUCGAGUGAUGUCGUAUUUUAUUGGGCCUAAAGCGUCGGUAGCUGGCCAGCGAAGUUCGUCGGGAAAUCCACUUGCCCAACAGGUGGGCGUCCGGCGAAAACUGUCCGGCUUGGAACCGGAAGGCUCAGAGGGUACGUCUGGGGUAGGAGUGAAAUCCUGUAAUCCCGGACGGACGACCGAUGGCGAAAGCAGUCUGAGAGGACGGAUCCGACAGUGAGGGACGAAAGCUAGGGUCUCGAACCGGAUUAGAUACCCGGGUAGUCCUAGCUGUAAAGGAUGCUCGUUAGAUGUGGCACCCACUACGAGUGGGUGCUGUGUCGUAGGGAAGAAGCUAAACGAGCCGCCUGGGAAGUACGUCCGCAAGGAUGAAACUUAAAGGAAUUGGCGGGGGAGCACUACAACCGGAGGAGCAUGCGGUUUAAUUGGAUUCAAC